UACGAAGGGGGCUAGCGUUGCUCGGAAUCACUGGGCGUAAAGCGCACGUAGGCGGCUCGUUAAGUCAGGGGUGAAAUCCUGGAGCUCAACUCCAGAACUGCCUUUGAUACUGGCGACCUUGAGUUCGGGAGAGGUGAGUGGAACUGCGAGUGUAGAGGUGAAAUUCGUAGAUAUUCGCAAGAACACCAGUGGCGAAGGCGGCUCACUGGCCCGAUACUGACGCUGAGGUGCGAAAGCGUGGGGAGCAAACAGG
Molecule: ribosomal RNA, 253 nt
Filed under: uncultured bacterium
Lineage: Bacteria
Description: partial 16S ribosomal RNA
Rfam family: Bacterial small subunit ribosomal RNA
Source: RNAcentral